This is a long non-coding RNA of Ylistrum balloti, 3265 nucleotides long. RefSeq lists it as uncharacterized. Lineage: Eukaryota; Metazoa; Mollusca; Bivalvia; Pectinida; Pectinidae. The record is from RefSeq and is a predicted model, not a curated record. The transcript is spliced from 2 exons.
UUCACACUCACAACACAACAGGUCAUGUGGAGGCAUACAAUCACCACUCUCCACUCGCCCGUAACCUUUUUCACACUAACAACACUACAGGUCACGUGGAGGCAUACAAUCACCACUCUCCACUCGCCCGUAACCUUUUUCACACUAACAACACUACAGGUCAGGUGGAGUCAUACAAUCACCACUCUCCACUCUCCCGUAACCUUUUUCAUCACUAACUACACUACAGGUCACGGGGAGGCAUACAAUCACCACUCUCCACUCGCCCGUAACCUUUUUCAUCACUAACAACACUACAGGUCAUGUGGAGGCAUACAAUCACCACUCUCCACUCUCCCGUAACCUUUUUCACACUAACAACACUACAGGUCAUGUGGAGGCAUACAAUCACCACUCUCCACUCGCCCGUAACCUUUUUCAUCACUAACUACACUACAGGUCAUGUGGAGGCAUACAAUCACCACUCUCCACUCACCCGUAACCUUUUUCAUCACUAACAACACUACAGGUCACGGGGAGGCAUACAAUCACCACUCUCCACUCGCCCGUAACCUUUUUCAUCACUAACAACACUACAGGUCAUGUGGAGGCAUACAAUCACCACUCUCCACUCGCCCGUAACCUUUUUCAUCACAACGACUCCAUGUUUGCUCUUUAAAAUAACAUUUAAGCAUUGGAGUAGUUCAUGGCAUUAUUAGUGUACAUAUCAAAUUUUAAUCAUCAAAUUAUUCUUAUGCUUGGUUGUGUCCCCUCAGUGUAUUUCAAUUUUGUGAACUAACAUCCAAUAUUCUAGAAACAGAAAUAGAUUAUGUAUAUACUUUCACAAGGUUUGACAUCCUUGUAUAAGCAGAUACUGAUAACGAUUUUAUACGGUUUCAUAACUAUUACAUUAUGAUGUGAUGAGUUUGUAUGUAAGUUGAAAACUUUAGAGUAUGAAAAGUUUCGGUAUUUAAACAAAAUAACUAAAUUAUAACAUACAUAGGGUACAUUCAAACAGUUAUCUAUUCAAUUGCUCAAGGAUGUUAAAAUAUGCAUCAUUGUACACAUACACCUGACAUUCAACUGCACAGACACAAAUUAAGAUACACUGAAAUUACCAUAUCGAGGAACCGACAUAAUAAAUCCCCCCCCUACUCCUAUAUUACCCCGUUCUUCUUGUGAAAGUGUGUGUGGAUUUAGUUUAAAUAUAAGGGAACAAUCUGUUUAUGUAAUAUCAUAUGUUCCCGUGCUGUACAUUUAUUGUUUUGAUUUGUCUGCAUCAAAAAACAUGUCCCAUAAAAUAGUUCUAUAGUUAUGGUUCAUGUCGCCAAAAGGCUCACAGGAUGAGGUGUCAAUACUUGUAGACCUCUCGAGACGUCAUUUACGGAGGAUGACCAUUACAAGUAAAUAAUUCCUCGCCUACACCCUGUCACGUUUUGAGUGGCAAGUUACCUGGAAAUCGUGUUUCGAUGACGUGUACUGCAUGGAGGUGUAAUGGAGAUAAGACACUUGACAGCACUGUUAGUAAUCAAUAUAUAUUGAAAAUUGUUGUGUGAAAUAAUUAGAAUUUCACAAACAUCUCUUUAAAUGAAUCUUAAAUAUGAAAAACCGAAACAAAAAGUUAAUAGAAAAAAGAAAAACAACAAUUAAAACAUACACAUUUGUUAAAUGUAUGUAGGGUUGGGAUUAGGCAGACUUGUAUCCUAUACUGUACUAAGGUCACUGCACGGACACAUAAAAACAAAAAUCAGUCAUUCUGAGUUCGAUCAGUGCAGAUAUGCUUUGCUUUCUGAGGUUGCUUAAGAACAAAAGAUAACAUUUUACAGUGUUUUCUCUAUUCUUUUAUUCAUAAUGCAUAUUUUGUUGACUGUUCUAUUUCCUUUAUGAUAAUAUCGGUAUUGACAUCAUAUCCUGUGACAAGUUUUUCUCAUAUGUCCUUGGUACAAUAUGCAAAUUGUAAUGUUGAUUGUUACUAAGAAUGACAGUCUGCCAGCAGAAAAAAAAUUUUAGCUCACCAGAAACGGAGGGCCAAGUGAACUAUAGGGAAAGUGCAGCAUCCGGCAUCUGUCAACGUUUCCUUUAAAUCAUUUCAUGCCAUAAACAAUUGAGAUUUUAACAAAAUUUGUCAAAUUAAUUUGUUAAUCCUAAGUGAAAAGGGAACCUAUUUAUGAAAAACCGUGAGUCUGCCCUCCUUGGGACUGAGGGACGGGGCACAAGGGAGGAAAAUUUAUCUAUUUCUUUCAGGAAUUGUAGAAAAUUGUCCAGAUUUGGACUGAAGUAUACUUGAGUGAAUAGAAACAUCAAUUAUGUAUUAACAGUAGGUCUUAACCCCCUGGAUGACAGGGGAAAUAGAGCAAUUCUUUUAACAUUCUUUCCUGCUGUUGGAAUGAUUAGAUUUUUGCCAAACUGAGUUUCGGUCCUUUGGAGCAGACAUUGAGAUGUGAGAUUGGAGUGGGUCGAACCCGAUAAGGGAAAUAGCGCAAAUUCUUUAUAAUCCUGCUUCUGUGAGAAAUACCUGGAUGUUGUUCCAAAUUUGGCCAGAAGAUUACCAUGGUGAUGGGGAAUCAAUUUUGUAUGAUUGGUGGACUACAACCCCUUGGGUGGCAUCCUUCUUAUGUAGGAAUGCAUGAAUUCUGUCCAAAUUUGACCUGAGACAUGCCCUGGUGAAGGAGAUCAAUGUAUAAACAGUGAGUUCCUGCUAGGGCGGGAGCUGUGGGGCCAAAUAGUGAAAUUAUAGCCAUUUCUGUAAAAUCCUUCUUCUGUUGGAACUGGAGACAUCCUUGGUAAAGAAAACUCCAGAUUUACAAAACUUUACUUCUAACCCCCUUUGCAAGGGGUCUAUUACAGGGAAAUAGAUACAUAUUUUUGAAAUACUUUUUUCUUUUAGUUUAAUUUUAUCAAUUUCAGCAAACUAUCCAAGGUGAGCAAUACAAGCCCUAUUGGCCUCUUGUUAGAAGUGUGCAUAACAUAAAUCCAGUCAAGGAUUUAAUUAAUGUGAUAUCAUCAUAAACUCAUCAACUUAAUUACUUUUAAUUACUAAUUACUAUUAAUUAUUAUAUUGAUAUUUUUAUCAUUGAAUGUCUUUGAAAUAAUGUAUCACUUAUGAUCAGGUUAUGUUAUUUGUAAAUCUAUGUCUAUUGUCUAUUGUCUAUUGUCUAUUAAAUCUACUAAAUCUAUUAUAUCCAAAUUUAACGUUGGUGUACCGAGGGCCUUUGUAAUGUUGAUGUAACUUGUGCCAAAUCCUUUUGCUACAUUUAUACAAUAAAAUUUUAUAUAACAAGACAAA